RNAcentral lists this long non-coding RNA (9093 nucleotides) under Olea europaea subsp. europaea. Lineage: Eukaryota; Viridiplantae; Streptophyta; Magnoliopsida; Lamiales; Oleaceae. The record is from RNAcentral.
AUCUUUCUUUGCUCCUUUUUGGGAGAAUUUUUUUCAUUUUAAAAGAAAUGUUAUAUAUUUUUGCUUAAGCGAAGCUCGACUGGCCAACCAACAAACAACUCUCUCUCUCUCUCUCUCUCUUUCUCUCUCUCUACGACGCAAGCCCGUCGGAAUCGGCGAUUCUUCUUACUCAGUGGCAAUUCUGUUUUUGACCCCCUGAAAACCUAAAGUCCCAAUUAUUUUUUGUCGUAUAUUCGUUAAAUCAAAUUGAAUUAGCCCUGGAUACGCGCAGGGGGAACAAUAAUUGGAUCUGAAUCGCCUUUUUUGGUAAUUGGUUAUGGCGUCGUUGAAGUCGUCACGGUCAAGAGGAGCAUCACACACGGGAGGACCAGUGAAAGGGAAUGCCAAAGACGCAGGCACCAAGUUCGAAGAGAAUCUAAACGUCUUCAAGUCCGAUAAUUUUGAUGCCGAUACAUUUGUACAGUCCAAGUGUCAGUCCCUCAAUGAAAAGGUCCCUAAUUUUUUUCUUAUAAAUUUAAUUAGUGUUUUUUAUUAGUUAAUUUAAUUUUUGAUUAAUUUGUUCAUAAUUCAGUUGAGAAAGUUGGGUUAUUUGUUAGUAUAAAAAUGAGGUAUAGUUUGAAUUAUUAGUUUGGUCUUCCAGGUCCGUAAGUUUACUUGAAAUUGGUUUCUAAGGAGAAAAUAGGAAACCUUGACCCCUUGGCUGCAUCUGUUUUCAGGAGAAAAAAAUAAUAAUAAUAAAUAAUAGUUCUUUACCAAAUGCAGAAAAUUGGAAUGCAUCUAUUUUCAGUUUGCCAAAAUUAUUGUGGUCCUGUUGCUAUUCAAAUAGAAAAUGAAAUUUGAAUGUCUGUUAUCUUGACUGUGCAAAGAACUCCUCAUGUUACAGAAAUUUACAAUUUUUAAUCACCAACUGUUUUUGACGAACUACAUAUAUUUUCGUCACUGCCUACAUGUUAUGUAUAAAUGCCCGCUACAUUCAUUUGUUUUUCUUAAUUAGGCAAUCUAAAAUGUUAGAACUCUAAUAUAAUUUAAUGUUUAAAAGGGUGGGAAAUGAGUGUACUGAAAUAUAAGGGAUGCAAUUACAGACCUAGGUCUAACAAUUUUAUUACUAUUCAGUUUUCAACAAGCAAACUACCUUUGGGCUUUUGGUAAGCAUUGUGUAAAUUGGGUGCAAGGAUGGUGAUUUGGUUGAAGAAAUGUUGAAGCUCAUCGUAACCCUUUUCUAUAAUUGUUCGAUCAAACAUGAUUACAUGAAAUUCUCCCUUUAUGACAUCAGAUAUUAAUACAGGAGAACUAACUAUGUUACAAGUUGAACCAAUGUAUUCUACCCAUGAUUAUGGAUCUAAAUCAAUCUAGAUUUUACCCAUGAUUAUGCAUCUAAAUCGAUUUAGUUGCAAUGUGUGUUUUUGCCCCGUUCAUUAAACAUCUCAAAGCCUAUGCCUUAAGUUUCAUUUGUAAGGUCAUGCCUUGAUUUACUGAGGCAUAUACCUCAAGGCUAAGUCCAAGGUGACUAAGGUAGUUGCCCAUUUGUCUUGCAUGCCUUUUAUGGACAUUCUAUUAUUGGUCUCAUCAUUUUUCGUAUUUCUUUUUUUAAGUCCUACAAUAUUUUAUUAGUUUUUAUCAGUUUUUUUUCCUUUAAUUCCUUUUUUGUAUUUUAUAUAAGUUUGGGCAUCAAUCGGUCACUGGGUAUUUCAAAUCAUCUACACCUAUUACACUUCGGCUAUUUCAUAAAUGAAAUCAUUUGGGUCCACGUAAUGACUACAACCAAAUUCGAAACCCGAACCUUCAAUUCCGAUUCCAGAUCCGUUCUACCCAUGGCCAUUUUUUAAAAACUCACGAGGUGAUAAUACAAAUUAUCUUCUUAAUAUCUAAUAGAAAUAAAAAGCCACCAAAUACAUAUUUCAACAUUUUCUUAAUCAAGUUCGAAUAUGUCACCAAAUAGCAUUCAAUAUCUAAUAUAAUAACAUCAAAUUCUGAUUGUGGCUCUACAUUCGGCGCCUCAAGAAGGUUUGUAGGAGGGGGCAGUUUUUAAAGUAAGAUCAGGAGUGUCUAUGAGAGUGAUAUGAUUCUAUUAUUCAAAUAAAUGAAUAUGAUUGAUUAUGGUACUUAUUACUUGGGCAUUGCUAACUUGCUACUUCAUGUACCUUGCAAAUAUGCUAUUUGUCGGGUAGGGUCAUUGUGUUAGGUUAAAUAAACUGUAAAAAAUAAAAAUAUAUAUAAAAUGACAAAUUUGAUUCCAGAGUCGAGUACCACAGUUUCGGUUCAAGAACAAAGAACUGUUUGGGACUCAAUCGAUUCACGGUUUUCGGUUUCAGAUCCUUUUUUCCUUUGAAUCGAACUGGAACCUUCGAUGUUGGUUAAAAUGCCCACCCUAGGGUGGAGGGGUGUUUUAUAUUAAGGUUUAUGCCUCUACGCUUAGGUAUUGCCUCAAAGAGGUAAUACAGCUUGGUACAAGCUUAAUUAGAUGAUGUUGAUGGUUGUCAACUAGUUAAAGAACAUCCUAAAUAGUUUUGAACGCAAAUAAUGAGGAUAGAGGUCAAAUGAAUUUUUCUCAAUUUGACUGACAAGACAUCUUAUGUAUACUUUAGCUUCCUAUGACAAAACUAAGAAAAUAGAGGUAUAGAACUCUGUUUCUAUCGUCCAUCAUAUUCUUGGAUAACCACAUACUGCAUGUUUAUAUAUAAUUCUGCUUUACUUGUACAGUUAAGUUAUUGGUACAAUUGCUGAAUAUUAUAGAACACGUGUAACCUUGUUAAUCAAACAUUUUAAGUCAUUUUUGUUAGAUUAGGCAUGUAACUAAAUCAGGAGCUGCCAUGUCCAUGGUCAACUACCAAUACCUUAUGGUCGUAUCCAAAUGCCUUGUUAGUACUUCAAUUAUAUUUCAGUUGGUUGUUAACAUGGCAUUGAUGAUUUCACCUAUGGCCGUAUGCCCAUAUCUCUGCAGUACUUUUGAUGGAUAUAAAUCCAUACAUUUUUUGUCACGGUUGACAUUGGACAUUUUUUGUGUCUGUUUCAUCUGAACACUGAUUUUGUAUUACUUUGUGAGGCUGUAUUAAGAUGUUGGCUUUUGAAAUGGGAUCAGCUGCUGAAAUAUUUAUAAUAUCUUAUUUAAAAAUAUUUUAAUGCUAAGUUUGCUCAACAUGACGUUGAAAUUAAUUGAUUGGGUGAAAUUGAUUGAACAAUGAAAAUAUUAUAUCUUAGUUUUGCUGAAAAUAUUGUAAAAUCAUUAUCUUAAAAAUCAUACGCAUCUUGCUUUGACUAGCUUUGCACUCAAACCCCAAGAGACAGAGUGUACUUUGUACAUUUAAUAGUAUUCAGCAAGUAUCAACCCUAAUGAGUAUGCGGAGAUGGGUGAAGAGUGGAGAAAAAGGAUUUAUAAUUUAUUAAUUUCCACAUGACUGAUGCGUAUUUAGAUUGCUACCAUCUGUUUUCUUCUUCUUCCCAGUAUAGAUUCUCUUGUGCUCCACAUUAUUAUAAAUGAUAUUUCUUUCAGUAAUAGCUGUACAAUUACUUUUCGCAGGAAAUAAGACAAUUAUGCUCAUAUCUUAUGGAUUUGAAGAGAUCUUCAGCUGAAGAAAUGCGCAGAAGUGUCUAUGCUAAUUAUACAGCUUUCAUUCGGUGAGUUCUUAGGUACACUUUCCUGCAUCAUACUGACGAAUUCUCUUCUUUCUUUCCUCUUGCUAUCUCUAUUUCUUGUUUGGCUGAAAAUGAUGUUAAAGAGUGAAUAUGUGCAUACCUAGUCUUUGUUUGAGCCCCAUUUUUUCAUCAAAAUAUAUUAUUCAACAGUGAUUUGUCACCAUUUCAACCACACAUUUUUUAAUAAAAUAAUAUUAUACGCAAAUCCAAAACUUUUCCUUAUUUUUUUACUACACAUAACACUAUUUCCAAAUGCAUUUUCCUAGAAAAAUGGGGCUCAAACCUCCUAGAGAAAAUAUUAAAUAACUUCUUUCAGAAUCUCCAAAGAACUCCAAAUUUUGAAGUUUGUAGCAAUAGAAAUUAGUUCACACAGCUCUGUAUUACUGAAGACAAGGUCUGUAGCUACCAUGAUAGCCACCAUUAGGUAAUAUUUACACAUUUGGAGAUGCUUGAAAGCCAUCAAUCACGUUGCCUCACCUUUCCACCAUCUUAGCAUGGUAUCCAAGCAAGCACAUUGCAUUUAGCAUUCGAGAUAUAUUUGAAUUUUGUUUAUACAAUCAGGGGCACCUUUUGCUUGUCAUAUUUUGACAAGAUGUCCAUAAUAUUUUAUGUCUGGUAGAAUUGAAUCCGUAAUCUACAUAUUUAGAUCUUCUGUUCAUUUUUCUUUUUUAAAUGCAACUGGCAGUACGUCUAAAGAGAUAUCAGAUUUAGAGGGUGAGCUUUUAUCGAUGAGAAACCUGCUAUCCACUCAGGCGACCUUGGUCCAUAAUUUAGCUGAGGGAGUUCAUAUUGAUUCUCUGUCUGAUACUGAUCCUGAAGGUUCUGCUGCAAAUAAAGUAUCCAAUGAUGAAGUUGGAGAACCUUCAGAUGUGGAGAAAUGGUCUAGAGAGUUCCCUGAUUUCCUUGAUGUUCUGUUGGCUGAAAGGAGAGUUGAUGAAGCUUUGGCCUGCCUUGAUGAAGGUGAAAACAUAGUGUCUGAAGCAAAGGAAAAGAAAAUUUUGACUUCUGGCAUGCUCCUCUCUCUGCAGUCUGCUAUAAUUGAACGCAGGCAAAAGUUAGCAGAUCAGCUGGCUGAAGCUGCUUGCCAACCUUCUACACGUGGUGCUGAGCUGCGUGCAGCAAUUUUAGCUCUCAAAAAACUUGGAGAUGGUCCUCGUGCUCAUACUUUACUCCUCAAUGCGCACUAUCAGAGAUACCAGUACAACAUGCAAAGCCUUCGUCCAUCAAGUACCUCAUAUGGAGGAGCAUAUACAGCAGCCCUGUCACAGCUAGUAUUCUCUGCCAUUGCUCAAGCAGUCAGUGAUUCCAUGGUUAUUUUUGGUAAGGAGACAGCUUAUACAUCUGAGAUAGUGAUGUGGGCUACAAAGCAAACUGAGGCCUUUGCACAUCUUGUCAAACGACAUGCAUUAGCUUCAUCUGCUGCUGCUGGGGGUUUAAGAUCUGCUGCAGAAUGUGUUCAAAUAGCUUUAGGACACUGUUCACUGUUGGAAGCUCGUGGGCUUGCCCUUUGUCCUGUGCUUGUGAAGCUCUUUAGACCUAGUGUUGAGCAAGCGCUGGAUGCCAAUUUGAAGCGAAUAGAAGAAAGCACAGCUGCUUUAGCUGCUGCUGAUGAUUGGGAGCUCACAUAUCCUCCAACCGCUUCACGCCAAUCCGGCAGGACUCCUGCAGCUUUGGGUGGUACGAUGUCACAUCAGCACAAGCUUUCCAGUAGUGCUCAUCGUUUCAAUGCAAUGGUCCAGGUAAAACAAUUUUUGUCUCAAUUGCUGCCCUGAUAACAUAGAAAAUAACUUUCCCAUUUCUCACUUUAAGCAUGCCAACGUACAAAAUACAAAUUCAAUUCCUUAUCAUUCUUCAUUGACGAUUAACUUCCUAGGUUUCUUGGCAGAGUUGGCAAAUAGUGUAUUUUGUAUGUCAUCUGUUAUUUCUCUAAGGCUUCCAAUUUUGAUAUGAAGCUUUCUUCUUGUGAUUUAGUGUUUUAAUGUAACAAUCAUAAGCCUGUGUAACUAUAUAUUUAAGCUAGAAAUCUUGGCCAGGUAUUUGUUAUCCUUUCCAAGUAGUAUAUGUGUACGUCCAUAAUGACGUGGCCACAUUCAGUUUUGUUAGGCAUGAGAAUCCAACUGUUGACUUCCUCGGGUAAAUGUAAUAUACACCUUGAAGCCCCCAUGGCGCAGUGGUAAAGCAGGAGGGUUCCAUAUGGAACAUCGAAGGUUCAAAUCCCUGCAACAGCUAGAAGGCAACAUUUAUGUUAGAAGGCAGUUGUCCUGUGGAGGCAAAGUUAAGGUGCGCUUUGUCGCCCCUCAAGGGGUCCUGUCCGCACGUCGUAAAAGGAGGUCUGUAGGGAGGAGAACUGCAUCUCGAAUAUCUGGUCCAAAUGUGUAUAAGCUGUGACUGCAUCCGGAUUUACCUGGGUGGAGAACCAGGGGGAAGACCGUCACUCUUCAAGAUUAGUCAGACGAAAUUUGGACACAUAAGUUAUCAAAAAAUAAUAAUAAUACACCAUGAAGACAUGCAUAGUCAUUUACAGAAUUCUCUAGACAUAGUAAUUAUUUUAUUUCUGGACAAAUUUUUGGCAGCAUGUUGAAUAAGCUGGAAAUUUACGUUGUAGUAUGACUUCACUUCAGUAUAACCCUGAAAUUAUUAGCCUAAUGAUUAGUAUAGGCAAUUUGGCUAAGCAUCUGAUUUCACUAUGGUUGGUUGUAAAUUGUGCACAAGUAUUGUUUAUUGGACAGGAUUUGAGUUCUGUCACAUCGUCUACCCUUUCUGGUUUUAAAACUGUCCUUUUGGAAUUGCAUGUUUAAGAUUGGGUAAAAUUCUUAAUGCUAAUUGAGAAGUAACUAGGCAUGUUAUUUCUCAAUAAUUUGAUUUAUGUGAAGUUUCUUCUGUUCUAUCGUUGCUUUUAUUCUUUUACUGAUGGUUUUUAACUUCAAGUUGAAGCAGCUGCUUUUUUUAACUGCCUUUGCAGGACUUUUUUGAAGAUGUGGGACCCCUGUUAAGUAUGCAGUUGGGAAGUAAAACAUUGGAUGGUCUGUUCCAGGUGUUCAACUCAUAUGUGAAUAUGCUCAUAAGAGCAUUGCCUGGCUCCAUUGAAGAUGAAGCCAACCUCCAAGGUUCAGGAAAUAAAAUUGUUCGAAUGGCUGAAACUGAAGCCCAGCAAAUUGCGUUGCUUGCAAAUGCAUCCUUACUAGCUGAUGAGCUAUUGCCACGUGCAGCCAUUAAGCUCUCCCCAUUAAAUCAACCCACUUACAAGGAUGAUUCUCGUAGAGGACUUACUGAGCGGCAAAAUCGUAAUCCUGAGCUAAGAGAAUGGAAGAAGCGUCUUGUCAACUCUCUUGAUAGAUUAAAAGAUAGUUUUUGUCAACAACAUGCUCUAGAUCUUAUUUUUACUGAAGAAGGUGAUAGCUAUCUUAAUGCAGACAUUUACAUAAACAUGGAUGGGAAUGAGGAUGAGAUAGAGUGGUUCCCUUCUCCAAUAUUCCAGGUAUUUUUUCUAUUUUUUAAGUAAAUUUGUUGGCUGCAUUUUAUAAAUCUUAUGUUAUAAUUAUCUUAUCUUUUGUUGUCAAUAUUACGGCAAUGUGGAUCUUCUAGUUUAGCUUUCCUAUUUAUUAUUUUUGAUUUUAUCUUGUAUCAUGUAGUUUGUACUAAUUUAUCCUUGUAGAAGGGAACAUUUGUGUCCAUCAUUAGUAUCUUGGACCUUCACGGGGUUAAACUGCUUAAGAUCUGGCCCCUACAUAGUACCGUCUUUGUCUCAAUAUCAUGGCUUGUACUUAUUCAUCCUAUUGCUUAUAAAAGAUGUCACGUCAUUCUUUUGUUGAAGUCUCUGGGCUUUCAGGGUUAAACAGCUUAAGAACUGCGCAUCAACAUUGCAGUGUUCCAUAUACUAUCUGUCUAUGGUAUUUUGAGUCAACUUACAAUUCAGCGCAUGUUUGGGAAUUGUUGAUGAACAGUUUAAAUUAUAAACGGAUAUAAAUGAGUAGUGGGCAUAUGGGUGGAUCCUACGAAAUUUCUGGAUUAAAGGUGGUUUGACGAAAAGUGUUUAUAUUUAUAAACAGUUCCAAAACAAGCUUUUAAUUGCUAGACUUCUUGUUUUCUUUCCUGUGCUGAGAUGUGUUCAUAACUGCAAUACAACCUGUAAUGUUUACGGUAUGGAUUGUACAUGUAACAAUUUUCUAUUUUGUCUACUGUCCAGGAACUUUACGCAAAGCUGAACAGGAUGGCUGCAAUGGCAGCAGAAAUGUUUGUAGGCCGGGAAAGAUUUGCAAUGUUGCUAUUGAUGAGGCUAACAGAGACGGUUAUCUUAUGGCUUUCAGAAGACCAGACAUUUUGGGAUGAUAUUGAGGAAGGACCAAGGCCUUUAGGUCCACUCGGUCUUCAACAGGUUUAUAAAUUGAUAGGUUUAUAAAUUGAUAUUUAUUGGGGAACUCUGCCCUCUAAUUGCCAUCCUAUUAUAACCAUCUUUUCUUUACAUGUAUUGGCUGCAGUUCUACUUGGAUAUGAAAUUUGUGAUAUGCUUUGCUUUACAAGGACGCUACUUGUCUAGAAAUUUGCGUCGGGUCGUGAAUGAUAUCAUAGCCAAAGCAUUGGCUGCAUUUUCUGCAACAGGCAUGGAUCCGUACAGGUACUGCGUAUACUGUAACCUUGGUAUGAUUGUUGUGCAUUUUCUUUCAAAUGAUUCUCUUAGAAGGUUACGGGAAGUUGUGUAGUUUUUUUUUGGAACCCGGAUGGAGAGAAAAUCCUAUAUGAGAUAUCUUGAUAAAGGGAAAAGAGAAGUCCUUUUAAGUGUAGAAAGACAAAAACCAAGGAUAUGAAAUUUCACAGUAAUCCCAAGUUAGAGAAAUUAUUUAAUUAAAGGAAUAGCCAAGAAAAUGAUAAUUGGAGUUGCUGCCAACUACAUUUGCAUAGAAAAACGAAAUCUUCAAAUUUGUUUUAACCAGUGUUGUUGGUGGCAGUGUACUUCGGGAAGAUGAGUGGUUUACUGAAAUUUGUCAAGAUGCAAUGGAAAAACUGAGUGGAAAACCCAAAGUUGCUAAUGGGGAUCGGGACCUGAGCAGCCCGACCGCUUCUGUUUCAGCUCAGUCGAUUUCAUCCGUAAGGUCUCAAGGGAGUUCCUGAUGCUUGACCAUUACAAAUUUGUAAAGCAGACAGAUUUUCAUGGAUUAGGCAACAAUGGUAAAUUCGCUUCUGUUAUUUUUUCUCCUUUUCCUUUUAUAAAGUAUAGUGGUUGGAACUACUACCACUUUGUAGUUUUGCUAUAGUGGUUGGUUGGAAAUUCUUUAACUGGUUAAGGAGCAUUUGAGUUUGUAUAUGUUGAUGAAAUUAUCUCAGGAUUUGCUGUAUUCUUUUGAUUGAUUUGUACUAGGAGGCGGCCUUUAGAAAUUAGGUCCCAUGGAGUGAAAUUGCCUUCCGAUUCGAUAAGUUGUUACUUAUAUAUAAUAUAUUAAAUAUCAUAUCAAGUAAAAAUCA